Molecule: unclassified non-coding RNA, 337 nt
Filed under: soil metagenome
Description: partial contains 5.8S ribosomal RNA, internal transcribed spacer 2, and large subunit ribosomal RNA
Rfam family: 5.8S ribosomal RNA (bases 1-120)
Source: RNAcentral
GAUGAAGAACGUAGCGAAAUGCGAUACGUAAUGUGAAUUGCAGAAUUCAGUGAAUCAUCGAAUCUUUGAACGCACAUUGCGCCCCUUGGUAUUCCAUGGGGCAUGCCUGUUCGAGCGUCAUUUGUACCUUCAAGCUCUGCUUGGUGUUGGGUGUUUGUCUCGCCUCUGCGUGUAGACUCGCCUCAAAACAAUUGGCAGCCGGCGUAUUGAUUUCGGAGCGCAGUACAUCUCGCGCUUUGCACUCAUAACGACGACGUCCAAAAGUACAUUUUUACACUCUUGACCUCGGAUCAGGUAGGGAUACCCGCUGAACUUAAACAUAUCAAUAAGCGGAGGA